This 752-nucleotide small RNA is filed under the name Histoplasma capsulatum var. duboisii H88. Its description in RNAcentral is "Histoplasma capsulatum H88 hypothetical RNA". The record is from RNAcentral. Lineage: Eukaryota; Fungi; Ascomycota; Eurotiomycetes; Onygenales; Ajellomycetaceae.
GCCCCCCAUGUCCUGCUUGUUGCAAUCAAUUUCGAAAAGCAGAUGAACUCUCUGCCGGUCGACGCGGUAUGGGAAAUGCAUCGAGUAUGGAAAUGGUUCGACGACGAGCCUGAGCUGUGAGUUGGUAGUUUUCCCUGGAGCAACCCACAAGAUACCAAUGCUCUGCAUACUAAGUAUGGGUUGCGGCUUUCUACUUGGUAUGCUAUAUUAAACUUCUCCUCCGUAAUAGGCGCGUGGGGAUUGUCACCGGGGCUGGUAAAAAGGCUUUCUCUGCCGGAAUGGAUCUGAAAGUUAUUUGAAAAUCUGCUCUAAUUCGCCUCAUAACUUUCGUUGCGUCCUAUCCACCCUAGCGAAAGAGUAUCCAGGCUUAUCGGUAUGCUCGCAAGGAUGACAGAGCGUCAAUCAUUGUCAACGUCUGAUUUUGAUUCUGCCGCACGCCUAAACGCAUAUCCCUCCACCGGGUUUGCCGGGCUCACUCGGCGAAAUGGCAGAAAGCCAAUAAUAGCAGCUUGCAACGGGCAUGCGCAUGGCGGCGGUUUUGAAAUCGUUCUCAGCAGCGACAUCGUGAUCGCGUCGGAAAAUGCGGAUUUCCGACUUCCGGAUGUUUUACGGGGAACAGCAGCUAUGGCUGGCGCGUUCCCACGACCCAUUGAUGACCUCAUUAAGGAAGCGGUGGAUGUUGCGAAACUCAUUGCUAGCAUGAGCCCCGAUAGUGUAAUUGUCACCCGAGCCGGUAUACGGCAGGCGUGGGA